RNAcentral lists this unclassified non-coding RNA (159 nucleotides) under uncultured Geoglossum. RNAcentral describes it as "sequence contains ITS2". The record is from RNAcentral. Lineage: Eukaryota; Fungi; Ascomycota; Geoglossomycetes; Geoglossales; Geoglossaceae.
UCAAAUCCCAAGCCUUGCUUGGUAUUGGGUUUUCGUCUUCCUAGACUUUGUAUGGGUAUAGACGUACCUGAAAUUCAAUGGCGGCGCCUCAAUAGACUCAAGCGUAGCAGACUGACUCGCUUUAGAGAACUAUUGUAGGUCCUGUCAAUAAAAUAACAA